Molecule: ribosomal RNA, 253 nt
Filed under: uncultured bacterium
Lineage: Bacteria
Description: partial 16S ribosomal RNA
Rfam family: Bacterial small subunit ribosomal RNA
Source: RNAcentral
UACGGAGGGUGCAAGCGUUAUCCGGAUUCACUGGGUUUAAAGGGUGCGUAGGAGGGCAGGUAAGUCAGUGGUGAAAUCUCCGAGCUUAACUUGGAAACUGCCGUUGAUACUAUCUGCCUUGAAUAUUGUGGAGGUGAGCGGAAUAUGUCAUGUAGCAGUGAAAUGCUUAGAUAUGACAUAGAACACCAAUUGCGAAGGCAGCUCGCUACGCAUAUAUUGACUCUGAGGCACGAAAGCGUGGGGAUCAAACAGG